Molecule: RNA transcript, 2356 nt
Organism: Myotis lucifugus (little brown bat)
Lineage: Eukaryota; Metazoa; Chordata; Mammalia; Chiroptera; Vespertilionidae
Gene: COP1
Gene name: COP1, E3 ubiquitin ligase
Exons: 21
Source: RefSeq, a predicted model, not a curated record
AUUUAGGUGCAUCAAAUGGCAGAGAAAAUGAGCCCUAUCUGCUUUGAUAUGAUCGAGGAAGCAUACAUGACGAAAUGUGGCCACAGCUUUUGCUACAAGUGUAUUCAUCAGAGUUUGGAGGACAAUAAUAGAUGUCCCAAGUGUAACUAUGUUGUGGAUAAUAUUGACCAUCUGUAUCCUAAUUUCUUAGUAAAUGAGCUCAUUCUCAAACAGAAGCAAAGGUUUGAGGAAAAGAGGUUCAAAUUGGACCACUCAGUGAGUAGCACCAAUGGCCACAGGUGGCAAAUCUUUCAAGAUUUACUGGGAACUGACCAAGAUAACCUUGAUUUGGCCAACGUCAACCUCAUGUUGGAAUUACUAGUGCAGAAGAAGAAACAACUGGAAGCAGAAUCACAUGCAGCCCAACUACAGAUCCUUAUGGAAUUCCUCAAGGUUGCAAGAAGGAAUAAGAGAGAGCAACUGGAACAGAUCCAGAAGGAGCUAAGUGUUUUGGAAGAGGAUAUUAAAAGAGUGGAAGAAAUGAGUGGCGUAUACUCUCCUGUCAGUGAGGAUAGCACAGUGCCUCAAUUUGAAGCUCCUUCACCAUCACACAGUAGUAUUAUUGAUUCCACAGAAUACAGCCAACCUCCAGGUUUCAGUGGCAGUUCUCAGACAAAGAAACAGCCUUGGUAUAACAGCACUUUAGCUUCAAGACGAAAACGACUCACUGCUCAUUUUGAAGACUUAGAGCAAUGUUACUUUUCUACAAGGAUGUCUCGUAUCUCAGAUGACAGUCGAACAGCAAGCCAGUUGGAUGAAUUUCAGGAAUGUUUGUCCAAGUUUACUCGAUAUAAUUCAGUACGACCUUUGGCUACUCUGUCAUAUGCUAGUGAUCUCUAUAAUGGUUCCAGCAUAGUCUCUAGUAUUGAAUUUGACCGGGAUUGUGACUAUUUUGCAAUUGCUGGGGUUACAAAGAAGAUUAAAGUCUAUGAAUAUGGCACAGUCAUUCAGGAUGCGGUGGAUAUUCAUUACCCUGAAAAUGAAAUGACCUGCAAUUCCAAAAUCAGCUGUAUCAGUUGGAGUAGUUACCAUAAGAACCUGUUAGCAAGCAGUGAUUAUGAAGGCACCGUCAUCCUGUGGGAUGGAUUUACAGGACAGAGGUCAAAGGUCUAUCAGGAGCAUGAGAAGAGGUGUUGGAGUGUUGACUUUAAUUUGAUGGAUCCUAAACUCUUGGCUUCAGGUUCUGAUGACGCAAAAGUGAAGCUGUGGUCUACCAACCUAGACAAUUCAGUGGCAAGCAUUGAGGCAAAGGCUAAUGUGUGCUGUGUUAAAUUUAGCCCCUCUUCUAGAUACCAUUUAGCUUUCGGCUGUGCAGAUCACUGUGUCCACUACUAUGAUCUUCGUAACACUAAACAGCCAAUUAUGGUAUUCAAAGGACACCGAAAAGCUGUUUCUUAUGCAAAGUUUGUGAGUGGUGAGGAAAUUGUCUCUGCCUCAACGGACAGCCAGUUAAAACUGUGGAAUGUAGGGAAACCAUACUGUCUACGUUCCUUCAAGGGUCAUAUCAAUGAAAAAAACUUUGUAGGCCUCGCUUCCAAUGGUGAUUACAUAGCUUGUGGAAGCGAGAACAACUCUCUUUACCUGUACUAUAAAGGACUUUCUAAGACUUUGCUAACGUUUAAGUUUGAUACAGUUAAAAGUGUUCUUGACAAAGACCGAAAAGAAGAUGAUACAAAUGAAUUUGUUAGUGCUGUGUGCUGGAGAGCACUGCCAGAUGGGCUGCUGAUACACCUAUAGAGUGCACUCCGCCAGCUGCCAUUCAGGAGUCCAAUGUGCUGAUUGCUGCUAACAGUCAGGGUACAAUUAAGGUGCUGGAGUUGGUAUGAAAGGUUUACUCAAGUUAAUUUGUAUGUGGUCCUGCUGAAGUAUAUCUGCAGCCAACAGUGAAAGAAGAUAGAGACUAUCAUGACAAGUCUCUCCCCGACAUCAUUAUGGGUUUUGAAUUUGUUUUGAGUAUUUUUUUCUUUUACUUUUCCCCCUCCUUUAUGCCCUUUGGGACAUUGGGAAUGCCCAGUGAACUCUGCACCAUCAAUGUAACUCUGUGGACUUUGCUGCUGUUGAUGGUGUAGUUAUCUAAUUUUUGUGAUAGGGAAACAAAUUCUUUUAAAUAAAAGUAAAUAACAAAAAGUAAUAAAAGUUUAUUGAGCCAUGGUUGAGCUGGGAAAGUUUGUGUCAGUUGUGGCAAGAGACAGUAAUCUCCUCAAGACAGCACACAUGAGCUGUAGAAUAAUGUACCAGUGAGUAGUUUUUAAGGCCCAUAUUUCCCCACCUCUUUGAAAUUAUGCAUGUCAACGUAAAUAUAAAAGUAUGUGGGUUC